RNAcentral lists this long non-coding RNA (1225 nucleotides) under Ananas comosus (pineapple). RNAcentral describes it as "long non-coding RNA (ACOM_LNC003896)". The record is from RNAcentral. Lineage: Eukaryota; Viridiplantae; Streptophyta; Magnoliopsida; Poales; Bromeliaceae.
AAAUCAAUAUAAUGCAAAAUUCAGCUUAAGGCUCCAAACUGACUCAAAUUCAAACCUUCUAACCUACAAUUUAGUGAAAGGAUAUGAUCCUCGAGCUCUCCUCCACCAAAUAAUCCUCGACUAAGACCCAAUUCAGGGAUUAUAAGCUCCAAAUUUCCACAAUUCCUGCAGUAGAUGCUGCCACUGCAGCUAUUGCAGAGGCUGCUGCUGUUGUUGCAGCCUGCUGCUGGUGAUUUGUUGGUUUAAAUUAGAGGUUUUCAGUGUUCUGAAGCCAAGGAUCACUGUGGUUACAUUCCCCUUUCCUCUUUUGGGCUGUACUCCUUCCUGCGAGUCCUAGGAAUUGCAGCAACAUCAACAUCAACCUCAACAUUCUACAGGAGCAUAAUUUCAGCAGCCUAUAGCUGAGUUGAAGAUAGAAUUUUGAGAGAUUUCGAAAUCCAAAUUGCUGGAGAAUUGAUUGCUCGCAUUCUUGGUGAAGAGGUGAACAUGAGGAGUGUUUUAAUUCAGCAAAUGACUUGGUAAGUUGUGUUUAAUUGCCAAAAUGGUGAAGGUCGCUGAAAUAGAAGUUUUAUACUGAUUUUGAGCAAGCUGAAUUCUUGAUGGAAUUUCUUUUAAUUUGCCUAUGUAGCUAAGAUUUUGAAAGGUUGCUAGUGAUCUUACCUUUAUCUAGAGUUGGUACGAACUUUGCUUGGACUGUUUUGAAGGUUAGGCUUUUCUGAAUUUUAGUUUUCAUUCAGGCCUUCAACUAAAAAUCAGAUUUUUUGUUGAAGCUGAUUUCUUGAGUCUUACUCCAUCUUCGAGAUGAAAUUUUGUGGUAAUUAAUAGGAUUUUCCUGUAGUUUAGGGAUCAGAGAAUACCCUUGAACUUGUCCCAACAUCUCUCUUUGGCUUGGAUCUUCUCUGUGGAUCAGGAACAACAGUAACAAAAUCCAACUAUUUCUAAAAUUUCAGCACAAAAUCAAUUUCAGCAAUUAAGCUUCAACUAACUUGAAAUUCCAGUCAGUAGUACAUAUAAACUGAGCUCCACUACUAUUCCUUCACUACCACCAGUCCGAAUUAAUAGGAAAGUGAGAAAAAAUCGAACAAACCCCUGCUAGAUUUAAUCGAAUCAAAAAAUAAUUCGAAAAUCUAAUGAAAACCAAUUUGGUUUGAAGAAAGGUGAAAUUCAGCGAUGAUCGCCUCAAAUCAGCUGACAAUACUUAAUUCAUAGGUUCCUCAUUUCCUCA